Molecule: ribosomal RNA, 256 nt
Filed under: uncultured bacterium
Lineage: Bacteria
Description: partial 16S ribosomal RNA
Rfam family: Bacterial small subunit ribosomal RNA
Source: RNAcentral
UACGGAGGGAGCUAGCGUUGUUCGGAAUUACUGGGCGUAAAGCGCACGUAGGCGGCUUUGUAAGUUAGAGGUGAAAGCCCGGGGGCUCAACUCCGGAACUGCCUUUAAGACUGCAUCGCUUGAAUCCAGGAGAGGUGAGUGGAAUUCCGAGUGUAGAGGUGAAAUUCGUAGAUAUUCGGAAGAACACCAGUGGCGAAGGCGACUCACUGGACGAUUGUUGACGCUGAGGUGCGAAAAGCGUGGGGGAGCGAACAGG